Molecule: ribosomal RNA, 2869 nt
Filed under: Escherichia coli
Lineage: Bacteria; Pseudomonadati; Pseudomonadota; Gammaproteobacteria; Enterobacterales; Enterobacteriaceae
Description: 23S ribosomal RNA
Rfam family: Bacterial large subunit ribosomal RNA
Source: RNAcentral
CAGUCAGAGGCGAUGAAGGACGUGCUAAUCUGCGAUAAGCGUCGGUGAGGUGAUAUGAACCGUUAUAACCGGCGAUUUCCGAAUGGGGAAACCCAGUGUGUUUCGACACACUAUCAUUAACUGAAUCCAUAGGUUAAUGAGGCGAACCGGGGGAACUGAAACAUCUAAGUACCCCGAGGAAAAGAAAUCAACCGAGAUUCCCCCAGUAGCGGCGAGCGAACGGGGAGGAGCCCAGAGCCUGAAUCAGUGUGUGUGUUAGUGGAAGCGUCUGGAAAGGCGCGCGAUACAGGGUGACAGCCCCGUACACAAAAAUGCACAUGCUGUGAGCUCGAUGAGUAGGGCGGGACACGUGGUAUCCUGUCUGAAUAUGGGGGGACCAUCCUCCAAGGCUAAAUACUCCUGACUGACCGAUAGUGAACCAGUACCGUGAGGGAAAGGCGAAAAGAACCCCGGCGAGGGGAGUGAAAAAGAACCUGAAACCGUGUACGUACAAGCAGUGGGAGCCUCUUAAUGGGGUGACUGCGUACCUUUUGUAUAAUGGGUCAGCGACUUAUAUUCUGUAGCAAGGUUAACCGAAUAGGGGAGCCGAAGGGAAACCGAGUCUUAACUGGGCGUUAAGUUGCAGGGUAUAGACCCGAAACCCGGUGAUCUAGCCAUGGGCAGGUUGAAGGUUGGGUAACACUAACUGGAGGACCGAACCGACUAAUGUUGAAAAAUUAGCGGAUGACUUGUGGCUGGGGGUGAAAGGCCAAUCAAACCGGGAGAUAGCUGGUUCUCCCCGAAAGCUAUUUAGGUAGCGCCUCGUGAAUUCAUCUCCGGGGGUAGAGCACUGUUUCGGCAAGGGGGUCAUCCCGACUUACCAACCCGAUGCAAACUGCGAAUACCGGAGAAUGUUAUCACGGGAGACACACGGCGGGUGCUAACGUCCGUCGUGAAGAGGGAAACAACCCAGACCGCCAGCUAAGGUCCCAAAGUCAUGGUUAAGUGGGAAACGAUGUGGGAAGGCCCAGACAGCCAGGAUGUUGGCUUAGAAGCAGCCAUCAUUUAAAGAAAGCGUAAUAGCUCACUGGUCGAGUCGGCCUGCGCGGAAGAUGUAACGGGGCUAAACCAUGCACCGAAGCUGCGGCAGCGACGCUUAUGCGUUGUUGGGUAGGGGAGCGUUCUGUAAGCCUGUGAAGGUGGCCUGUGAGGGUUGCUGGAGGUAUCAGAAGUGCGAAUGCUGACAUAAGUAACGAUAAAGCGGGUGAAAAGCCCGCUCGCCGGAAGACCAAGGGUUCCUGUCCAACGUUAAUCGGGGCAGGGUGAGUCGACCCCUAAGGCGAGGCCGAAAGGCGUAGUCGAUGGGAAACAGGUUAAUAUUCCUGUACUUGGUGUUACUGCGAAGGGGGGACGGAGAAGGCUAUGUUGGCCGGGCGACGGUUGUCCCGGUUUAAGCGUGUAGGCUGGUUUUCCAGGCAAAUCCGGAAAAUCAAGGCUGAGGCGUGAUGACGAGGCACUACGGUGCUGAAGCGACAAAUGCCCUGCUUCCAGGAAAAGCCUCUAAGCAUCAGGUAACAUCAAAUCGUACCCCAAACCGACACAGGUGGUCAGGUAGAGAAUACCAAGGCGCUUGAGAGAACUCGGGUGAAGGAACUAGGCAAAAUGGUGCCGUAACUUCGGGAGAAGGCACGCUGAUAUGUAGGUGAAGCGACUUGCUCGUGGAGCUGAAAUCAGUCGAAGAUACCAGCUGGCUGCAACUGUUUAUUAAAAACACAGCACUGUGCAAACACGAAAGUGGACGUAUACGGUGUGACGCCUGCCCGGUGCCGGAAGGUUAAUUGAUGGGGUUAGCGGCAACGCGAAGCUCUUGAUCGAAGCCCCGGUAAACGGCGGCCGUAACUAUAACGGUCCUAAGGUAGCGAAAUUCCUUGUCGGGUAAGUUCCGACCUGCACGAAUGGCGUAAUGAUGGCCAGGCUGUCUCCACCCGAGACUCAGUGAAAUUGAACUCGCUGUGAAGAUGCAGUGUACCCGCGGCAAGACGGAAAGACCCCGUGAACCUUUACUAUAGCUUGACACUGAACAUUGAGCCUUGAUGUGUAGGAUAGGUGGGAGGCUUUGAAGUGUGGACGCCAGUCUGCAUGGAGCCGACCUUGAAAUACCACCCUUUAAUGUUUGAUGUUCUAACGUUGGCCCGUAAUCCGGGUUGCGGACAGUGUCUGGUGGGUAGUUUGACUGGGGCGGUCUCCUCCUAAAGAGUAACGGAGGAGCACGAAGGUUGGCUAAUCCUGGUCGGACAUCAGGAGGUUAGUGCAAUGGCAUAAGCCAGCUUGACUGCGAGCGUGACGGCGCGAGCAGGUGCGAAAGCAGGUCAUAGUGAUCCGGUGGUUCUGAAUGGAAGGGCCAUCGCUCAACGGAUAAAAGGUACUCCGGGGAUAACAGGCUGAUACCGCCCAAGAGUUCAUAUCGACGGCGGUGUUUGGCACCUCGAUGUCGGCUCAUCACAUCCUGGGGCUGAAGUAGGUCCCAAGGGUAUGGCUGUUCGCCAUUUAAAGUGGUACGCGAGCUGGGUUUAGAACGUCGUGAGACAGUUCGGUCCCUAUCUGCCGUGGGCGCUGGAGAACUGAGGGGGGCUGCUCCUAGUACGAGAGGACCGGAGUGGACGCAUCACUGGUGUUCGGGUUGUCAUGCCAAUGGCACUGCCCGGUAGCUAAAUGCGGAAGAGAUAAGUGCUGAAAGCAUCUAAGCACGAAACUUGCCCCGAGAUGAGUUCUCCCUGAGACUUAGAGUCUCCUGAAGGAACGUUGAAGACGACGACGUUGAUAGGCCGGGUGUGUAAGCGCAGCGAUGCGUUGAGCUAACCGGUACUAAUGAACCGUGAGGCUUAACCUU